UACGGAGGAAGGUGGGGAUGACGUCAAAUCAUCAUGCCCCUUAUGUCCUGGGCUACACACGUGCUACAAUGGCUGGUACAAAGAGACGCAAGACCGCGAGGUGGAGCAAAUCUCAAAAACCAGUCCCAGUUCGGAUUGCAGGCUGCAACUCGCCUGCAUGAAGUCGGAGUUGCUAGUAAUCGCAGAUCAGAAUGCUGCGGUGAAUGCGUUCCCGGGUCUU
This 220-nucleotide ribosomal RNA is filed under the name uncultured Eubacteriales bacterium. RNAcentral's name for it is "uncultured Clostridiales bacterium partial 16S ribosomal RNA". It matches the Rfam family "Bacterial small subunit ribosomal RNA", at positions 1162 to 1382 of the family's 1533-position model. Lineage: Bacteria; Bacillati; Bacillota; Clostridia; Eubacteriales. The record is from RNAcentral.